CUGGCGGCAGGCCUAAUACAUGCAAGUCGAGCGCGCCCUUCGGGGUGAGCGGCGGACGGGUGAGUAACGCGUGGGAAUAUGCCCUUCUCUAAGGAAUAGCCUCUGGAAACGGAGAGUAAUACCUUAUACGCCCUUUGGGGGAAAGAUUUAUCGGAGAAGGAUUAGCCCGCGUUAGAUUAGGUAGUUGGUGGGGUAAUGGCCUACCAAGCCUACGAUCUAUAGCUGGUUUGAGAGGAUGAUCAGCCACACUGGGACUGAGACACGGCCCAGACUCCUACGGGAGGCAGCAGUAGGGAAUCUUAGACAAUGGGGGCAACCCUGAUCUAGCCAUGCCGCGUGUGUGAUGAAGGCCCUAGGGUCGUAAAGCACUUUCGCCAGAGAUGAUAAUGACAGUAUCUGGUAAAGAAACCCCGGCUAACUCCGUGCCAGCAGCCGCGGUAAUACGGAGGGGGUUAGCGUUGUUCGGAAUUACUGGGCGUAAAGCGCACGUAGGCGGAUUAGUAAGUUAGAGGUGAAAUCCCAGGGCUCAACCCUGGAACUGCCUUUAAUACUGCUAGUCUUGAGUUCGAGAGAGGUAAGUGGAAUUCCGAGUGUAGAGGUGAAAUUCGUAGAUAUUCGGAGGAACACCAGUGGCGAAGGCGGCUUACUGGCUCGAUACUGACGCUGAGGUGCGAAAGUGUGGGGAGCAAACAGGAUUAGAUACCCUGGUAGUCCACACCGUAAACGAUGAAUGCCAGACGUCAGCAAGUAUACUUGUUGGUGUCACACCUAACGGAUUAAGCAUUCCGCCUGGGGAGUACGGUCGCAAGAUUAAAACUCAAAGGAAUUGACGGGGGCCCG
This 840-nucleotide ribosomal RNA is filed under the name uncultured marine bacterium. RNAcentral describes it as "bacterial SSU rRNA". It matches the Rfam family "Bacterial small subunit ribosomal RNA", at positions 36 to 923 of the family's 1533-position model. The record is from RNAcentral.